UUGGAGAAGAGAUCACAAACAUUCAAGAUUGUUGAGAAUGCAAUCACGGAUCUGGGUAACGAAGGAAAAGUGCUACAGCUAAGCCAUUAUAUGGACCUGACUGCGCAACCCAAAUCUCCAGGGGAGCUAGUGCGGCCACACCAGUCACGGUCCCCUUUUUACUUCAAGAUACUUAUCCGGCGGGAAAUCGAAUCUUAGAUCAUGAGAAUACUCUCAAAACAACUAUUAGCGCAACCCUGAGUGUGUAACAGUAGAUGUUUUUUAUUAAAAGAUAACAUUACAAAAA
Rhododendron vialii is the source of this 286-nucleotide long non-coding RNA. RefSeq lists it as uncharacterized. The transcript is spliced from 2 exons. The record is from RefSeq and is a predicted model, not a curated record. NCBI's taxonomy places the organism in Eukaryota, Viridiplantae, Streptophyta, Magnoliopsida, Ericales, Ericaceae.